ACGCUAGCUACAGGCUUAACACAUGCAAGUCGAGGGGCAGCAUCAUCAAAGCUUGCUUUGAUGGAUGGCGACCGGCGCACGGGUGAGUAACACGUAUCCAACCUGCCGACAACACUGGGAUAGCCUUUCGAAAGAAAGAUUAAUACCGGAUGGCAUAAUUAUUCCGCAUGGGAUAAUUAUUAAAGAAUUUCGGUUGUCGAUGGGGAUGCGUUCCAUUAGGCAGUUGGCGGGGUAACGGCCCACCAAACCUACGAUGGAUAGGGGUUCUGAGAGGAAGGUCCCCCACAUUGGAACUGAGACACGGUCCAAACUCCUACGGGAGGCAGCAGUGAGGAAUAUUGGUCAAUGGACGAGAGUCUGAACCAGCCAAGUAGCGUGAAGGAUGACUGCCCUAUGGGUUGUAAACUUCUUUUAUACGGGAAUAAAGUGAGCCACGUGUGGCUUUUUGUAUGUACCGUAUGAAUAAGGAUCGGCUAACUCCGUGCCAGCAGCCGCGGUAAUACGGAGGAUCCGAGCGUUAUCCGGAUUUAUUGGGUUUAAAGGGAGCGUAGGCGGGUUGUUAAGUCAGUUGUGAAAGUUUGCGGCUCAACCGUAAAAUUGCAGUUGAUACUGGCGACCUUGAGUGCAACAGAGGUAGGCGGAAUUCGUGGUGUAGCGGUGAAAUGCUUAGAUAUCACGAAGAACUCCGAUUGCGAAGGCAGCUUACUGGAUUGUAACUGACGCUGAUGCUCGAAAGUGUGGGUAUCAAACAGGAUUAGAUACCCUGGUAGUCCACACAGUAAACGAUGAAUACUCGCUGUUGGCGAUAUACAGUCAGCGGCCAAGCGAAAGCAUUAAGUAUUCCACCUGGGGAGUACGCCGGCAACGGUGAAACUCAAAGGAAUUGACGGGGGCCCGCACAAGCGGAGGAACAUGUGGUUUAAUUCGAUGAUACGCGAGGAACCUUACCCGGGCUUAAAUUGCAGAUGAAUUACGGUGAAAGCCGUAAGCCGCAAGGCAUCUGUGAAGGUGCUGCAUGGUUGUCGUCAGCUCGUGCCGUGAGGUGUCGGCUUAAGUGCCAUAACGAGCGCAACCCUUGUUGUCAGUUACUAACAGGUCAUGCUGAGGACUCUGACAAGACUGCCAUCGUAAGAUGUGAGGAAGGUGGGGAUGACGUCAAAUCAGCACGGCCCUUACGUCCGGGGCUACACACGUGUUACAAUGGGGGGUACAGAGGGCCGCUACCACGCGAGUGGAUGCCAAUCCCCAAAACCUCUCUCAGUUCGGACUGGAGUCUGCAACCCGACUCCACGAAGCUGGAUUCGCUAGUAAUCGCGCAUCAGCCACGGCGCGGUGAAUACGUUCCCGGGCCUUGUACACACCGCCCGUCAAGCCAUGGGAGCCGGGGGUAC
RNAcentral lists this ribosomal RNA (1391 nucleotides) under uncultured organism. RNAcentral describes it as "SSU rRNA". It matches the Rfam family "Bacterial small subunit ribosomal RNA". The record is from RNAcentral.